GGAGCCAUAGCUCAGUGGAAGAGCAUCUGUUUUGCAUGCAGAAUGUCCCAGGUUCAAUCACCAGCAUCUUCA
RNAcentral lists this transfer RNA (72 nucleotides) under Podarcis lilfordi (Lilford's wall lizard). RNAcentral's name for it is "tRNA.Ala". The record is from RNAcentral. Lineage: Eukaryota; Metazoa; Chordata; Lepidosauria; Squamata; Lacertidae.